AGUGAACGCUGGCGGUAUGCCUAACACAUGCCAGUCGAACGGCAGCACAGUAAGAUCUUGCUCUUACGGGUGGCGAGUGGCGGACGGGUGAGGAGUACAUCGGAAUCUACUUUUUCGUGGGGGAUAACGUAGGGAAACUUACGCUAAUACCGCAUACGACCUACGGCUUAAAUCAGUGGUUCUUGGCGCUUUUGCUGUUUGAUUUAGCUGGUGCCGGAUUAGCUAGUUGGGGGGGUAAGGGCCCACCAAGGCAACGAUCCGUAGCUGGUCUGAGAGGAUGAUCAGCCACACUGGAACUGAGACACGGUCCAGACUCCUACGGGAGGCAGCAGUGGGGAAUAUUGGACAAUGGGCGAAAGCCUGAUCCAGCCAUACCGCGUGGGUGAAGAAGGCCUUCGGGUUGUAAAGCCCUUUUGUUGGGAAAGAAAAGCAGCAGGUGAAUACACCGCUGUUCUGACGGUACCCAAAGAAUAAGCAACGGCUAACUUCGUG
This 492-nucleotide ribosomal RNA is filed under the name uncultured bacterium. RNAcentral's name for it is "partial 16S ribosomal RNA". It matches the Rfam family "Bacterial small subunit ribosomal RNA", at positions 29 to 507 of the family's 1533-position model. The record is from RNAcentral.